This 387-nucleotide ribosomal RNA is filed under the name uncultured bacterium. RNAcentral's name for it is "bacterial SSU rRNA". It matches the Rfam family "Bacterial small subunit ribosomal RNA", at positions 370 to 772 of the family's 1533-position model. The record is from RNAcentral.
AAUGGGGGAAACCCUGACGCAGCAACGCCGCGUGAAGGAUGAAGGUUUUCGGAUUGUAAACUUCUUUGAUUGGGGACGAAGAAAUGACGGUACCCAAAAAACAAGCCACGGCUAACUACGUGCCAGCAGCCGCGGUAAUACGUAGGUGGCGAGCGUUGUCCGGAAUUACUGGGUGUAAAGGGCGUGUAGGCGGGGAUAUAAGUCAGAUGUGAAAUCCCGGGGCUCAACUCCGGAGCUGCAUCUGAAACUAUAUUUCUUGAGUGCUGGAGAGGAAAGCGGAAUUCCUAGUGUAGCGGUGAAAUGCGUAGAUAUUAGGAGGAACACCAGUGGCGAAGGCGGCUUUCUGGACAGUAACUGACGCUGAGGCGCGAAAGCGUGGGGAGCAAA